GGUGAAAAGCACCCCGGAAGGGGAGUGAAAUAGAACCUGAAACCGUGUGCUUACAAGUAGUCAGAGCCCGUUAAUGGGUGAUGGCGUGCCUUUUGUAGAAUGAACCGGCGAGUUACGAUUUGAUGCAAGGUUAAGCAGUAAAUGUGGAGCCGUAGCGAAAGCGAGUCUGAAUAGGGCGUUUAGUAUUUGGUCGUAGACCCGAAACCAGGUGAUCUACCCUUGGUCAGGUUGAAGUUCAGGUAACACUGAAUGGAGGACCGAACCGACUUACGUUGAAAAGUGAGCGGAUGAACUGAGGGUAGCGGAGAAAUUCCAAUCGAACCUGGAGAUAGCUGGUUCUCUCCGAAAUAGCUUUAGGGCUAGCCUCAAGUGAUGAUUAUUGGAGGUAGAGCACUGUUUGGACGAGGGGCCCCUCUCGGGUUACCGAAUUCAGACAAACUCCGAAUGCCAAUUAAUUUAACUUGGGAGUCAGAACAUGGGUGAUAAGGUCCGUGUUCGAAAGGGAAACAGCCCAGACCACCAGCUAAGGUCCCAAAAUAUAUGUUAAGUGGAAAAGGAUGUGGCGUUGCCCAGACAACUAGGAUGUUGGCUUAGAAGCAGCCAUCAUUUAAAGAGUGCGUAAUAGCUCACUAGUCGAGUGACA
Molecule: ribosomal RNA, 643 nt
Filed under: Staphylococcus aureus
Lineage: Bacteria; Bacillati; Bacillota; Bacilli; Caryophanales; Staphylococcaceae
Description: partial 23S ribosomal RNA
Rfam family: Bacterial large subunit ribosomal RNA
Source: RNAcentral